This 81-nucleotide non-coding RNA is filed under the name human gut metagenome. RNAcentral's name for it is "Glycine riboswitch". It matches the Rfam family "Glycine riboswitch aptamer", at positions 9 to 86 of the family's 94-position model. Rfam says of the family: This family represents the bacterial glycine riboswitch. Glycine riboswitches usually consist of two metabolite-binding aptamers domains with similar structures in tandem. The record is from RNAcentral.
GCCCGCUGGAGAAUCUCAGAAUAUGGGUGCCGAAGGUGAAAGUGGCGAAUGCCGCGAAUCUCUCAGGCAAAAGGACAGCGU